Molecule: ribosomal RNA, 521 nt
Filed under: uncultured bacterium
Lineage: Bacteria
Description: bacterial SSU rRNA
Rfam family: Bacterial small subunit ribosomal RNA
Source: RNAcentral
UUCGAUUCUGGCUCGAGGAUGAACGCUAGCUACAGGCUUAACACAUGCAAGGUCGAGGGGCAGCGGGGGAGCAGCAAUGCUCCUGCCGGCGACCGGCGCACGGGUGCGUAACGCGUAUCCAACCUGCCGCGUACUCCGGGACAGCCCUCUGAAAGGAGGAUUAAUACCGGAUGUUGCCGGGGCCAGGCAUCUGGCCCCGGGCUAAAGAUUCAUCGGUACGCCGAUGGGGAUGCGUCUGAUUAGCUUGUUGGCGGGGUAACGGCCCACCAAGGCGACGAUCAGUAGGGGUUCUGAGAGGAAGGUCCCCCACAUAGGAACUGAGACACGGUCCUAACUCCUACGGGAGGCAGCAGUGAGGAAUAUUGGUCAAUGGGCGUAAGCCUGAACCAGCCAAGUAGCGUGCAGGAACCGACGGCCCUACGGGUUGUAAACUGCUUUUAUGCGGGGAUAAAGUGCGGCACGUGUGCCGCUUUGCAGGUACCGCAUGAAUAAGGACCGGCUAAUUCCGUGCCAGCAGCAGC